This 332-nucleotide unclassified non-coding RNA is filed under the name soil metagenome. Its description in RNAcentral is "partial contains 5.8S ribosomal RNA, internal transcribed spacer 2, and large subunit ribosomal RNA". The stretch from base 1 to 120 matches the Rfam family "5.8S ribosomal RNA", at positions 35 to 154 of the family's 154-position model. The record is from RNAcentral.
GAUGAAGAACGUAGCGAAAUGCGAUAAGUAGUGUGAAUUGCAGAAUUCAGUGAAUCAUCGAAUCUUUGAACGCACAUUGCGCCCUUUGGUAUUCCUUAGGGCAUGCCUGUUCGAGCGUCAUUUAAACCUUCAAGCUAAGCUUGGUGUUGGGUGACUGUCCGCUUCACGGCGGACUCGCCUCAAAGUUAUUGGCGGCCGGUACAUUGGCUUCGAGCGCAGCAGAAACGCGAACUCGGGCCCGUCGUAUUGGCUCCCAGAAGCUAUCUUCACAAUUUUGACCUCGGAUCAGGUAGGGAUACCCGCUGAACUUAAGCAUAUCAAUAAGCGGAGGA